Molecule: small nuclear RNA, 107 nt
Organism: Capra hircus (goat)
Lineage: Eukaryota; Metazoa; Chordata; Mammalia; Artiodactyla; Bovidae
Source: Ensembl
GUGCUCACUUCAGCAGCGCAUAUCCUAAAACUGGAACAAUACAGAGAAGAUUAACAUGGCCCCUGUGCAAGGAUGACACACAAAUCUGUGAAGCGUUCCAUAUUUUU